AAGCAACAGUCUCUUUGCUAAAUGGAAUCUCUUCAAAUGUAAAAGUUUGAAAUUCAACAACUAUAGUGUCCGUCUCAGUUCUCAUGUCUUCCAGCAGCAUCACCCCUUCGAGCGCCUCAAAAGUCCUCUGCCACAGCAAACCCGGAGUUUACGCGAUUGUCCCAAAACUUUAACAAGGCUUCUCAUUGGUUAAACCAAAUCAGUUUACUUAGUUUACAUGAACAUAAAAUGUCCAAAUAAUUGAGUGGACUGUACAUCAAAGAAUUCAACAAACUGUGACUCUGAGAGGCCCAGUGCAAUCAAAACAUGAUUUUAAUAUAUAUUUCCACACUAUGAUGUUACAAUUAUAAUCAUGCCCUUUUAGUUAAGAGCUGUUUUGAAAAGACAGAGACAUUACAGCAUGUUUUGGUUGGAAGGAAUGUUUGACAUGUAAUUUCUUUGAUGCUUGCACAUGAAAGUAACAUAGCAUAGGCUUAACAGCAGAGGCUGUAGUAAAAUGACACGUUUCUAAUACAUGGUUUAUCAGGUUAUUACACCUUUAUGGAAUUAAUGCUCAUAUAUCAUAGUAUACUGUAUCUAUUGACAGUAUAUCUGUUUUAUUCUUAGGACUUUGUUUGACUGCAAGCACUAAAAAAUGUUGUGUGGUGAUAUGUUACAGGUCCUUGAGGAAUAAAUAACUUUGUGUGGUGAUAUGUUACAGGUCCUUGAGGGAGAUGGAGGGAUAAAUAACUUUGUGUGGUGAUAUGUUACAGGUCCUUGAGGGAGAUGGAGGGAUAAAUAACUUUGUGUGGUGAUAUGUUACAGGUCCUUGAGGGAGAUGGAGGGAUAAAUAACUUUGUGUGGUGAUAUGUUACAGGUCCUUGAGGGAGAUGGAGGGAUAAAUAACUUUGUGUGGUGAUAUGUUACAGGUCCUUGAGGGAGAUGGAGGGAUAAAUAACUUUGUGUGGUGAUAUGUUACAGGUCCUUGAGGGAGAUGGAGGGAUAAAUAACUUUGUGUGGUGAUAUGUUACAGGUCCUUGAGGGAGAUGGAGGGAUAAAUAACUUUGUGUGGUGAUAUGUUACAGGUCCUUGAGGGAGAUGGAGGGAUAAAUAACUUUGUGUGGUGAUAUGUUACAGGUCCUUGAGGGAGAUGAAGGGAUAAAUAACUUUGUGUGGUGAUAUGUUACAGGUCCUUGAGGGAGAUGGAGGGAUAAAUAACUUUGUGUGG
Oncorhynchus keta (chum salmon) is the source of this 1207-nucleotide long non-coding RNA. RefSeq lists it as uncharacterized. The record is from RefSeq and is a predicted model, not a curated record. NCBI's taxonomy places the organism in Eukaryota, Metazoa, Chordata, Actinopteri, Salmoniformes, Salmonidae. The transcript is spliced from 3 exons.